RNAcentral lists this ribosomal RNA (492 nucleotides) under uncultured bacterium. Its description in RNAcentral is "partial 16S ribosomal RNA". It matches the Rfam family "Bacterial small subunit ribosomal RNA", at positions 29 to 507 of the family's 1533-position model. The record is from RNAcentral.
AGUGAACGCUGGCGGUAGGCCUAAUACAUGCAAGUCGAACGGCAGCACAGUAAGAGCUUGCCUUUACGGGUGGCGAGGGGCGGACGGGUGAGGAAUACAUCGGAAUCUACUUUUUCUGGGGGGAUAACGUAGGGACACUUAUGCUACCACCGCAUACGAUCUACGGGAGAAAGCAGGGGAUCUUCGGACCUUGCGCGACUGAAUUAGCUGAUGUCGGAUUAGCUAGUUGGCGGGGUAAAGGCUCACCAAGGCGACGAUCCGUAGCUGGUCUGAGAGGAUGAUCAGCCACACUGGAACUGAGACACGGUCCAGACUCCUACGGGAGGCAGCAGUGGGGAAUAUUGGACAAUGGGCGCAAGCCUGACCCAGCAAUACCGCGUGAGUGAAGAAGGCCUUCGGGUUGUAAAGCCCUUUUGUUGGGAAAGAAAAACAGCCGGUUAAUCCCCGGCUGUUCUGACGGUACCCAAAGAAUAAGCACCGGCUAACUUCGUG